AGUUACUCUUCCAAUCACAUUUGUUGCUAGAGGUAAACCUCUACAUUUGCGUGCAAUCUCCAAUCCAGUAAUCGCAAAUUGUUCUGGUACUUCUUUAUCUUAAAAUGCCAUUGUUCUGGUUAUUGACCAGCAAUCACGUUCUGUCAAUGACCUCAAGCAACAUGGAUGAUCGCAAGUGUUCACAAUAGAUGCCACCUUUUCCUUACGUGUGGUGACGAUAAUGAAAUUUCCAUUUCUGAAGCUAGCUCCCACUAGUGUUUUUUUUUUGAAUUCAUCCCAAUCUUUUGUUUCUUCAUUCCAUAAAUCAUCAAGAACAAGCAAGUAUCUUUUGUCUUUUGAUUUUUUCUGCAAUCUUUUUG
RNAcentral lists this long non-coding RNA (359 nucleotides) under Olea europaea subsp. europaea. The record is from RNAcentral. Lineage: Eukaryota; Viridiplantae; Streptophyta; Magnoliopsida; Lamiales; Oleaceae.